RNAcentral lists this unclassified non-coding RNA (209 nucleotides) under Hevea brasiliensis (rubber tree). The record is from RNAcentral. Lineage: Eukaryota; Viridiplantae; Streptophyta; Magnoliopsida; Malpighiales; Euphorbiaceae.
AAAUGGAGGGUUCAGUAGCUAAUGUAGAGGACUUUUGAUCAUUAUUGUAAGCUUCUGCUAGAGCAGCUAAGGAGAAGAUUUUGAUUAUAAAGACUAUAGUUAGGGGAAUUGAGCAUUUUUGGCUCCUAGGCUUUGGCUUUGCAUGGGAGAAACCUGCCAUUGUGUACAUGUGGCUGGGGUUGAGACUUGAGAGCGAGAGGCAAUAAAAU